This 253-nucleotide ribosomal RNA is filed under the name uncultured bacterium. RNAcentral describes it as "partial 16S ribosomal RNA". It matches the Rfam family "Bacterial small subunit ribosomal RNA", at positions 524 to 776 of the family's 1533-position model. The record is from RNAcentral.
UACGGAGGGGGCUAGCGUUGUUCGGAAUUAUUGGGCGUAAAGCGCGCGUAGGCGGUCCGGUAAGUCCGCUGUGAAAGUCGGGGGCUCAACCCUCGGAUGCCGGUGGAUACUGUCGGGCUUGAGUGCGGAAGAGGCGAGUGGAAUUCCUGGUGUAGCGGUGAAAUGCGCAGAUAUCAGGAGGAACACCAAUUGCGAAGGCAGCUCGCUGGGACGUAACUGACGCUGAUGCGCGAAAGCGUGGGGAGCAAACAGG